AGUCGCCACGGGAAUACGAAGGGUGCAAGCGUUAAUCGGAAUUACUGGGCGUAAAGCGCGUGUAGGUGGUUGUUUAAGUCUGUCGUGAAAGCCCUGGGCUCAACCUGGGAAUUGCGAUGGAUACUGGGCGACUAGAGUGCGGUAGAGGAUAGUGGAAUUUCCGGUGUAGCAGUGAAAUGCGUAGAGAUCGGAAGGAACAUCUGUGGCGAAGGCGACUAUCUGGGCCAACACUGACACUGAGACACGAAAGCGUGGGGAGCAAACAGGAUUAGAUACCCCUGUAGUCCCUGUCUCUUAUACA
Molecule: ribosomal RNA, 301 nt
Filed under: uncultured bacterium
Lineage: Bacteria
Description: partial 16S ribosomal RNA
Rfam family: Bacterial small subunit ribosomal RNA
Source: RNAcentral